CGGCGAGUGAAGCGGCAACAGCUCAAAUUUGAAAUCUGGCGCCUUCGGUGCCCGAGUUGUAAUUUGUAGAGGGUAGCUCGAGCCCGCCCCCGUCUAAGUCCCCUGGAACGGGGCGUCGUAGAGGGUGAGAAUCCCGUAUGCGACGGGGUGGCGUGCUCGUGUGAGCUCCCUUCGACGAGUCGAGUUGUUUGGGAAUGCAGCUCUAAAUGGGAGGUAAAUUCCUUCUAAAGCUAAAUACCGGCCAGAGACCGAUAGCGCACAAGUAGAGUGAUCGAAAGAUGAAAAGCACUUUGGAAAGAGAGUUAAAAAGCACGUGAAAUUGUUGAAAGGGAAGCGCUCACGACCAGACUCGGGUGCGGCUGCUCAGCCGGUCUUCUGACCGGUGCAUCGGUUGUACCCGGGCCAGCAUCGGUUCGGGCGGUCGGAUAAAGGUUCCGGGAACGUAGCUCCUCUCGGGGAGUGUUAUAGCCCGGGGCGCAAUGCGGCCUGCCCGGACCGAGGAACGCGUUCGCUAGGAUGCUGGCGUAAUGGUCGUUAGCGGCCCGUCUUGAAACACGGACCAAGGAGUCUACCAUCUGUGCGAGUAUUAGGGUGUCAAACCCUUGUGCGUAAUGAAAGUGAACGGAGGUGGGAACCCUUUAGGUGCACCAUCGACCGAUCCAGAUGUCCUCGGACGGAUUUGAGUAAGAGCACCGCUGGUGGGACCCGAAAGAUGGUGAACUAUGCGCGGAUAGGGUGAAGCCAGAGGAAACUCUGGUGGAGGCUCGCAGCGGUUCUGACGUGCAA
This 786-nucleotide ribosomal RNA is filed under the name Thyrinula dunnii. RNAcentral describes it as "partial 28S ribosomal RNA". It matches the Rfam family "Eukaryotic large subunit ribosomal RNA", at positions 87 to 896 of the family's 3401-position model. Lineage: Eukaryota; Fungi; Ascomycota; Dothideomycetes; Asterinales; Asterinaceae. The record is from RNAcentral.